RNAcentral lists this long non-coding RNA (292 nucleotides) under Elaeis guineensis (African oil palm). RNAcentral's name for it is "long non-coding RNA (EGUI_LNC076391)". Lineage: Eukaryota; Viridiplantae; Streptophyta; Magnoliopsida; Arecales; Arecaceae. The record is from RNAcentral.
GGGGUCUUCUCUUAUCUUCAUUUAUAGAAAAAAUAGGAUGAAGGAUGAAAGGAUGAAAAUAUAUUCUGAUAACAUUUUAUCAUAUGGAGCCACAUGGGGGCAUCUUUAAAUGACCUCGUCAGCAGGCAUGCCCUUUGUCCGGCACAUCGGUGGUCGCAACGGCGGGCCUUAUCACGAACACGUGGCAUAAUUAAUGACUUUGUGGUGCCUUAUCAUGGUGCGGAGAGGACCACUUAGGGUAUGACCUCAUGAUGAUGUGGCUUGAUGUGACUCGAUAUGCUACAUGACAGCC